CCGCUCGACGAUGAUGAACUCAUCUCCCACAUCCUCUCUGGGCUGGAUCUUGACUAUCAGCCGUUGAUCUCCGCCCUGGACGUCCGCACCAAGCCACUCUCCAUCGACC
This 109-nucleotide small nucleolar RNA is filed under the name Triticum aestivum (bread wheat). Its description in RNAcentral is "Small nucleolar RNA Z247". It matches the Rfam family "Small nucleolar RNA Z247". From Rfam's summary of the family: Z247 is a member of the C/D class of snoRNA which contain the C (UGAUGA) and D (CUGA) box motifs. Most of the members of the box C/D family function in directing site-specific 2'-O-methylation of substrate RNAs. RNAcentral also lists the same sequence under 1 other name. Lineage: Eukaryota; Viridiplantae; Streptophyta; Magnoliopsida; Poales; Poaceae. The record is from Rfam by way of RNAcentral.